This is a long non-coding RNA of Callithrix jacchus (white-tufted-ear marmoset), 231 nucleotides long. RefSeq lists it as uncharacterized. NCBI's taxonomy places the organism in Eukaryota, Metazoa, Chordata, Mammalia, Primates, Cebidae. The record is from RefSeq and is a predicted model, not a curated record.
UUGGAUUCCGGGACCUGAAGGAGGGCCUUGUGCCUGGCACAAAGGCUCCAACAAGGUGUGCUGAACUGGUGAAGCUGGAAAGACAGACAGAGUCUUGCACUGUCACCCAGCUGGAGUGCAAUGGCACCAUCUAGGCUCACUGCAACCUCCGCCUCCCAGCUCCACAGUAGCCUGGAAAACAAUAGCCUGCAACUAUGGUGAAAACCAGCAGCCUGGCAGUCAUCAGAGGAG